This is a non-coding RNA of Mycena rebaudengoi, 90 nucleotides long. NCBI's taxonomy places the organism in Eukaryota, Fungi, Basidiomycota, Agaricomycetes, Agaricales, Mycenaceae. The record is from the annotation of a GenBank genome assembly.
GCACCGGUGGUGUAGGGUACACGCGUCUUCUCCUUUAGCUUACCCCAGCACAGUCACGACGAUCCCGGGGUUCGACUCCCCGCCGGUGCU